UCUGCGAUAUAAAGACAAGAAAGAAAUAAUCCCCAGAGAGGCUGUGUUCUAUUGGAGGACACAACUUGUGGAUAUGAAAUAUGUAGAGAUGAUUCAGAGAGGCAGCAGCAGCUGAAGGACUUGGAGAAUUCAGGAAAGGCUUCUGGGAGAAGGUGAUGCAUUUACACAGACAAGUCUUUGUUGGAACAGUUAUAGAGAAGACUUGGAUUUUACAUUUUUCUCCUACUCUACCAUCUUUGCAGAUCUCCCUGGCUAAGCAGAUUGGGAAUUUAAGGAAGAACCAAAAGGAGAAUUAUAGUUCAUUUUAUAGAUGAGGAAACUGAAGGAAACCAAGUUAAGUGACUUGCCCAAGGUCACACCAUUAAUUGGUUUCUGAGAUCAAGAUUUGAACUCCAGAAGAGGAAUCUUCUUGACUCCAGGACUGAUGCUCUAUCUACUGUGUUACUUCAAGUAAAUUCACUUGGGGGAAGGAGAACAGAUGAUAGGGUGAGCCAUCUGACCUCAAGCGCAGCCAUGUUGGGAAAAGCUCAUUCUUCCUUGGGGGUUGGUGAGGAAGGUAGAGUUUGGCUUGGAAAUGCCAUAAUUGUGCCCUAUGCCACCUUAGGGAUGGUGGCAUAGGGACAACUGAACGCCAUUGUUCACAGUGGAUAAAAUGCUG
RNAcentral lists this long non-coding RNA (658 nucleotides) under Monodelphis domestica (gray short-tailed opossum). Its description in RNAcentral is "lncRNA (ENSMODG00000039863.1)". The record is from RNAcentral. Lineage: Eukaryota; Metazoa; Chordata; Mammalia; Didelphimorphia; Didelphidae.